This 253-nucleotide ribosomal RNA is filed under the name uncultured bacterium. RNAcentral's name for it is "partial 16S ribosomal RNA". It matches the Rfam family "Bacterial small subunit ribosomal RNA", at positions 524 to 776 of the family's 1533-position model. The record is from RNAcentral.
UACGGAGGGAGCUAGCGUUGUUCGGAAUUACUGGGCGUAAAGCGCACGUAGGCGGCUUUGUAAGUUAGAGGUGAAAGCCCGGGGCUCAACCCCGGAAUUGCCUUUAAGACUGCAUCGCUUGAAUCCGGGAGAGGUGAGUGGAAUUCCGAGUGUAGAGGUGAAAUUCGUAGAUAUUCGGAAGAACACCAGUGGCGAAGGCGGCGCACUGGCCAGUUACUGACGCUCAGGCGCGACAGCGUGGGGAGCAAACAGG